RNAcentral lists this ribosomal RNA (447 nucleotides) under uncultured bacterium. Its description in RNAcentral is "bacterial SSU rRNA". It matches the Rfam family "Bacterial small subunit ribosomal RNA", at positions 355 to 825 of the family's 1533-position model. The record is from RNAcentral.
UGGGGAAUCUUGGACAAUGGGCGCAAGCCUGAUCCAGCCAUGCCGCGUGGAUGAUGAAGGCCUUAGGGUUGUAAAAUCCUUUCGUGGGGGACGAUAAUGACGGUACCCCAAGAAGAAGCUCCGGCUAACUUCGUGCCAGCAGCCGCGGUAAUACGAAGGGGGCUAGCGUUGUUCGGAUUUACUGGGCGUAAAGCGCGUGUAGGCGGGUCGUUAAGUUGGGGGUGAAAUCCCGAGGCUCAACCUCGGAACUGCCUUCAAAACUGGCGACCUGGACCCAAGUAGAGGCAAGUGGAAUUGCGAGUGUAGAGGUGAAAUUCGUAGAUAUUCGCAGGAACACCAGUGGCGAAGGCGACUUGCUGGACUUGUGGUGACGCUGAGACGCGAAAGCGUGGGGAGCAAACAGGAUUAGAUACCCAUGUAGUCCCUGAGCGGGCUGGCAAGGCGCAU